UACUGAUGUGCGCAUGCGUACACAUAGUUGGCGCUUUUUUUUCUUCUUCUUCUUCUUUUUUGGCCGGAAAGAGCCAGAGGAAAGUUCCAGAAGCGGAGCGGUAGGUUCCCUCCCGCUGUUGCGUCUUUGCAGCAUUAACGAAAUACUUGUUAGUUGAUCGUCUACCAGAGAAGGGAUUGGAUUGGAAAACAACAGCUUUAUUUAGGGUGCCAAUACAGUGGACAGUUCAGGCGUAGGAAGGAAGACGUGGAUAGGUUUCUCAACCCUCUUUAAGAAAGAAACAGUAGGUACGUCAUGUAAUGACAUGGUCAUGCAAACUUUGUAGCUUUGGGUCAUCAAAACGUUUGGAGCUCCUGAAGCAUUACAGAUUAAAACAUUUACGUUCCACUCAAAGCCAGAGAGUACCAUGUCUAUAUUUGGAUUGUCCUUGCUCUUUUAAACGUUGGGGUGCACUUCGUGCACAUUUAUCUAGAGAUCACAGACAAACUGAACAGGUCGAGCAAAGUGGUACCUUUUUUUGUCUUGUUUGCAAUUCAUAUGGUUUUGACACAGAGAAGCAGUACUUUGAACACCUCGGAACUCAUUUAAAAAAGUUUCAAACAGUUAGUUGUGUUUUUAAAGAUUGUGAAUACCACACGAACAUAUAUUCAACUUUUGCUUCACAUAAAAGUAGAAAACACAGUCCUCAUUGCCUUGAUGAUUUUAAACAUGAUGUAUUUCAGACAUGUGGAAGGCAGGCAGCAGAUGAAAGUUUAAGUUUGGUAGAUAAUAGGGAAAUUACUGACGAAGAAACAAUAGUUGAUGAGGGUGAAGAUUUAGUCAAAGCUAUUAUUGACCAUUUAGGUUCCUUGUUAUUAAAAUUAGACUGCAUCUUCAAUGUACCAGGUAGAUGUAUAGAUGAAAUUGUUGAAGAAUUUCAGUUUAUUACUUGUUCAGCAUCAGCACCUGUGAUUAAAAGAAUUGUUCUUGACACAUUGGAAAAGCACAACUGUGCUGUUGAACAAAAAGUGAUAUCAGAUUUAGUAAGAAGCAUUUGCCUGUUAAACCCUGUCAAUGCAGCAUUUAAGGAGGAAGGUCCUCUUGGCACUUCCUACCAGAGAAACAAAUACCUAAAAGAACAUUUUUUUAUUGUUGAACCUGUAGAGUACAUAUUGGAUGCUAAAGAGGGUAAGACAUUCCAAUAUGUUCCAAUUCUUCAAUCCCUAUCCCAAAUUCUAAAUAAUUCUGAUAUUUUGGAAAAAGUGUUCAAGAGUCAAGAAAGGUGUGGUUUGUCUUCUCGAUAUUCAAGUUUUUAUGACGGUUCACAUUUUAAGGAAAACAGCUUUCUCUCUGGAGAAGAGUUAAGGCUGUCACUUCUUCUCUAUUGUGACGAUUUCGAGAUCUGUAAUCCUUUAGGUACCUCUCGUAAAAAGCACAAGGUAACAGGUAUCUAUUGGGUGUUGGCUGAUAUUCCAGCAGUGUUAAGGUCUGCAUUAUCUUCAAUUUACCUAGCUGUUUUGUGUAAGGCAGGUGAUGUACAGAAAUUUGGAUAUGAGCAAGUUCUUGAACCACUCUUAAGUGAUCUAAAAACAUUUGAAGAACAUGGUGUUUUCGUUCCUCUGUUAGGAAAGGCAGUAAAAGGAACAGUUUUUUCUGUAAUAGCGGAUAAUCUUGGUGCCCACUCACUUGGGGGUUUUGUUGAAAGUUUUAGUGGGUCAUAUUCUUGUAGAUAUUGUAUUGCAGAGCGUUCCCAGUUUAGGGAUAUUGAAGUCAGGUCAGGAGUGUUUCCUGUUAGAACAAAACAGCAACAUCUGUUGGAUGUUGAAACAGCUUUGGCUAAUAACACUCAUUGCCACGGAGUUAAAAGACACUGUCCAAUCACUCAAAAAUUAAAACAUUUUCAUGUAACAACAGGGUAUGCACCUGACGUGUUACAUGAUCUACUCGAAGGCAUUGUCCCUUUAGAAUUGGCAUUGUGUUUCAACAUCUUGAUUAAAAAAAAUAUUUCUCAUUUCAGGAGCUCAAUACAAUCAUUAAAAAAUUUCCAUACAAAGGGAAAGACAAGACUAACUGUCCACAGGGUGUACCUCCAACAUUUGCCUCUCGCAAAACUAUUGGAGGUAAUGCACACGAAAAUUGGUGCUUGUUGAGGCUACUUCCCCUGAUGAUUGGUUGCAAGGUACCAAAAGAAGAACAAGCAUGGCAACUGUUGAUGACACUCAAAGAUAUUGUUGAAAUUGUAAUGUCGCCUGACCACACAGAUCAAAGCAUUGGUUUCCUAGAUAGUCUGAUCUCUGAGCAUAGACUAAGAUUUACCCUUGUGUUUCCGGAGGAAAAAUUGAUUCCCAAGCACCAUUUUGUUGAGCAUUACCCACAACUCAUUAAAUCUUUUGGUCCACUGGUCUCCCUGUGGUCCAUGAGGUUUGAAGCCAAGCAUCACUUUUUCAAAAAAGUUGUGAGACAAACAAGUUGCUUUCGGAACAUCUUAAAAUCAAUGGCAAAAAAACACCAGUCCAUGAUAGCCUUCCACCUUCAUGGUUCAAAACUUAAAAAAAUCUCCCUUCUCUGUGUCAAAAACAUCUCGAGUACCUUUAGAGGUUGUAAAUGAAAUUCUCCAAGAAUUUAUGAAACAAAAAUUUCCUGGAAAAAAGAUGGUGAAUUUAGUUGAAAAGGCAGAAUGCCAGGGGACCACUUAUAGUAUUGGUAUGAUGCUGGUCUACGAUUCCACUGAUGAGCUGCCAGAUUUCGCAGAAAUAUUACAAACAGUUGUAGUUUGUGAUAGUUUGAUCUUUGUUGUGAAACUGCACACUUCUUGGUACUGUGAGCAUUUAAGAUCUUUCAAGCUUGAGUCCACAAGCACUCUAAAAGUCCUUCAGCACUCACAGCUGAAAGAUGUUUAUCCUUUGGUUACUUACUCUGUGGGAGGGGAUCGAAUGGUUUCUCUAAAACAUCACAUCUCUUUUGAUAGCAAGCUUUGAAAAGAUGCCUUGUACUGCUGCUCAGCUGCGCGUCAUCAUCGAGGAGACCCAAAUUCACAAAAUGCACCUUCCAAAUGGAAUCCCAACCACAGUGGAAGAACUGCUUUCGGCAGUAAAGCUUCAUUUCUGCCUCGAUGGGAACAUUGCACUUAUGUAUAUGGACAAAGAUUUUGGCAAUGAGUUUUUUACUCUCACAUCCACCAAUGAGCUGAGGGACAAAGACACUUUAAAAGUUGUUGACAGAGAACCACCAGUUAUUAUUACACUGGCUCCUGUUACUGACAAUUCAACAUCUUCUCAAGGGUCACUUAAUGAGUCUGCUUCAGAUAACAGUUCUUUGGUAAAUUGUUCAGACACCUUCAGUUUUCCACAGCCUCCAGAGUUUCGUUCACAAACCUGGCCUACUAAUUUUUCAAUACCUUCAUUUUCUUUUGAUGUUGAGUUGCUUCUCCAAGAAGGGAAUAAGGCAUGUGGAAAGGAUGGCUCUCUCAUUCAGAAUCCAUCUUUGAAGUCUGACAUUCUUGAAAAACUUGCUGAAGAAAUUUUUCAGUACACUGCCUAUCCCUCAGGUCUGCAAAUACUAGCAGUUGUUGAAGCGCUGCUAAAAAAGCAUCCAUGCCUGCAAGAGCCAGGAACUUCAUUCUCUGGAUUGUAUGGAUGGCAGCAGCGUCUGAAGUACAAAAUGGCUAAUUUCCGAUCAAAACUAAGAAAGCGAAAGGUACCGUGUCCUGAACUUGACAUAAACUCAUUUCAUGGAAAGACACACAACAGAACUUCCCCCAAGAUCUACAAGAAACCAAAGAGAGCUGAGGUAAAUUACCUCCCUCCUCAUCCAAGUGGGGAAACAGUUGAGACUCUUGAACUUAUUAGAAAAGAGCUUCUUGAGGAUGUAAAGAAGAAAAACAACGCCAAAGAGAUCCAGGAAAAGAUGGCUGCAACCUUCUCCAGCCGAAGGCUUGAAGUAGUGAAGUCCAGCCCUGCCAUAAAAGAUUUCCUGGAGAGAUGGCCUGCUUUAUUUUCUGAAACUGAGAUCAAAGAGGAAUUCAACCGGCUAACAACCAUUUCGCUGGAACAGAAAUUCAUGUUCAACUUGGACAAAUAUACACCAAAACUUAUUGGUCUGAUGGAGGCAAAAGGAGGGACCAUUGGGAGAAAGCUAAAGCCAAUCGUGCAAAAACUUAGACAGAACCUGCGCAUCGGGAUGAAACGUGAAGCUGUGAUCCACGGCCUAGUCCUGUACCUUGGUGAGAUGCAAGAGGAACUCUUCAAGGAAUGCCAU
Oryzias melastigma (Indian medaka) is the source of this 4236-nucleotide RNA transcript. RefSeq lists it as uncharacterized. The record is from RefSeq and is a predicted model, not a curated record. NCBI's taxonomy places the organism in Eukaryota, Metazoa, Chordata, Actinopteri, Beloniformes, Adrianichthyidae.